GUCCACGCUGUAAACGUUGGGCGCUAGGUGUGGGGCUCAUUCCACGAGUUCCGUGCCGCAGCUAACGCAUUAAGCGCCCCGCCUGGGGAGUACGGCCGCAAGGCUAAAACUCAAAGGAAUUGACGGGGGCCCGCACAAGCGGCGGAGCAUGCGGAUUAAUUCGAUGCAACGCGAAGAACCUUACCAAGGCUUGACAUGUUCAGUAAUCCGUCAGAGAUGGCGGGUCCGUAAGGGCUGUUCACAGGUGGUGCAUGGUUGUCGU
This 262-nucleotide ribosomal RNA is filed under the name uncultured bacterium. RNAcentral describes it as "partial 16S ribosomal RNA". It matches the Rfam family "Bacterial small subunit ribosomal RNA", at positions 793 to 1055 of the family's 1533-position model. The record is from RNAcentral.